GACGAACGCUGGCGGCGUGCUUAACACAUGCAAGUCGAACGGAAAGGCCCUGCUUUUGUGGGGUGCUCGAGUGGCGAACGGGUGAGUAACACGUGAGUAACCUGCCCUUGACUUUGGGAUAACUUCAGGAAACUGGGGCUAAUACCGGAUAGGAGCUCCUGCUGCAUGGUGGGGGUUGGAAAGUUUCGGCGGUUGGGGAUGGACUCGCGGCUUAUCAGCUUGUUGGUGGGGUAGUGGCUUACCAAGGCUUUGACGGGUAGCCGGCCUGAGAGGGUGACCGGGCACAUUGGGACUGAGAUACGGGCCGGACUCCUACGGGAGGCAGCAGUGGGGAAUAUUGCACAAUGGGCGGAAGCCUGAUGCAGCAACGCCGCGUGCGGGAUGACGGCCUUCGGGUUGUAAACCGCUUUCGCCUGUGACGAAGCGUGAGUGACGGUAAUGGGUAAAGAAGCACCGGCUAACUACGUG
This 468-nucleotide ribosomal RNA is filed under the name uncultured bacterium. Its description in RNAcentral is "partial 16S ribosomal RNA". It matches the Rfam family "Bacterial small subunit ribosomal RNA", at positions 28 to 507 of the family's 1533-position model. The record is from RNAcentral.